Acyrthosiphon pisum (pea aphid) is the source of this 1120-nucleotide long non-coding RNA. RefSeq lists it as uncharacterized. The transcript has 3 exons. Lineage: Eukaryota; Metazoa; Arthropoda; Insecta; Hemiptera; Aphididae. The record is from RefSeq and is a predicted model, not a curated record.
CGGGUGGCUGGGUAAAAAAUUAUCCAGAAAAUUAAUACUAAUACCAAAGUAAAUAGGUACCUACUAGAUACCUAUUUACUUAUACUACAUAUUAUAUAAAAUUACAGCUACCGGAUUACAGAGCUUUUUUCCUACAUUAUACAGUAGGUAUACAUGGCUCUUUAAAUCGCUUAUAAUCUACCAGUAUCUAGAAGUAUCUAAAAGAAAACCAACGUUUAAGCACCUAUAUUAAUGUCCCACAGAAAUAAUUAAGGUGAUUCAAGGAACACGACUAAAUAGUCAGCGAGAUCGAAUAUUAUGUAUAUUUAAUUCAAAAAUACACACAAAUACAAGAUUUUUUAAAGACAUUCAAAAACAAUUGAAUCGUACAGGGAGAAUAUCGUUUGAUUAUUGAUAAAGUAUAUCCGUGCGGAUCAAGAACAAAUCAUACAAUUCAAUUUAAUGUCUAUUCUAGUAAAAAGGCAUCAAAUAUAACUGAAAUUAUAGGGAAUAUUACAUUUUUGAUACUUUUCGACGAUAAUCUUACUGUAAGUAUAUAAUGUUUAAUUUAAUAUUUCGUAUAAUACAGUGAAACGUCCAUAUCAUAUUAUAAUGCCUGAAAGACAAAGACUCAAAUGCACAAAGACAACCAAAAAUAUUCUUCAUUCAGAGAAUUUUCUUAAAUAGAAUCCUUUGUAUGUGUAAAAGUAGAUGGUUCGAAUUAAGAGCACUAAGAGUAUUUUACUACGACUAAUUCACAAACCACAACGCAAUAAACAAGAACCGUGCUUAUACGAGAGCUGGCUGUACAAUUACUUGUUGAAUUUUGAGAAUACAAACAAAAAAUUGACGUAAUAUAUCCAACAUUAUGAUUAUUUGAACCACGAGGUUUGUACUAUAGUCCAGUGGCGUAAUUACGGGUCGGAGAUUUGGGUGUCGUAUCCCCCCCCCCCUGUUACUUUUUUUUUAACUGGUAAUCCAUAUUAAUAUGUGUAGGGCCGGAACUUGAUGUAUUUGCAUCUUUUUUUCUAAUGCUUACAUACGAUGACGCUCGUCUUUACAGACAUUUGAUUAAUGGAAUAUUGAAUUUAAUGGUACAUUUUUCAUAUUUGCAUUUUUACUAAAUUUAUUGCUUAAACGU